RNAcentral lists this ribosomal RNA (255 nucleotides) under uncultured bacterium. RNAcentral describes it as "partial 16S ribosomal RNA". It matches the Rfam family "Bacterial small subunit ribosomal RNA", at positions 524 to 776 of the family's 1533-position model. The record is from RNAcentral.
UACGUAGGGUACAAGCAUUAAUCGGAAUGAUUGGGCGUAAAGGGCGCGUAGGCGGUCCUGUAAGUCAGAUGUGAAAUUCCAGAGCUCAACUCUGGAGCUGCAUAUGAAACUGCAGGACUAAAGAGGUAAGACGGAGAAAGCGGAACUCCACGUGUAGCGGUGAAAUGCGUAGAUAUGUGGAAGAACACCUGUGGCGAAAGCGGCUUUCUAGUUUUAACCUGACGCUGAGGCGCGAGAGCAAGGGGAGCAAACAGG